AGUCGAGGGGCAGCGUGACGAUAGCUUGCUAUUGUUGAUGGCGACCGGCGCACGGGUGAGUAACGCGUAUCCAACCUGCCCUUGUCCAUCGGAUAACCCGUCGAAAGGCGGCCUAACACGAUAUGCAGCUCUCAGCAGGCAUCUAACGAGAACGAAAUGUAAAGGAGAAGGAUGGGGAUGCGUCUGAUUAGCUUGUUGGCGGGGUAACGGCCCACCAAGGCGACGAUCAGUAGGGGUUCUGAGAGGAAGGUCCCCCACAUUGGAACCGAGACGCGGUCCAAACUCCUACGGGAGGCAGCAGUGGGGAAUAUUGGUCAAUGGGCGAGAGCCUGAACCAGCCAAGUAGCGUGCAGGAUGACGGCCCUAUGGGUUGUAAACUGCUUUUAUGCGGGGAUAAAGUGAGCCACGUGUGGCUUAUUGCAGGUACCGCAUGAAUAAGGGCCGGCUAAUUCCGUGCCAGCAGCCGCGGUAAUACGGAAGGUCCGGGCGUUAUCCGGAUUUAUUGGGUUUAAAGGGAGCGUAGGCCGUCUGGUAAGCGUGUUGUGAAAUGUCGGGGCUCAACCUGGGCAUUGCAGCGCGAACUGUCAGACUUGAGUGCGCGGGAAGUAGGCGGAAUUCGUCGUGUAGCGGUGAAAUGCUUAGAUAUGACGAAGAACUCCGAUUGCGAAGGCAGCCUGCUGUAGCGCAACUGACCCUGAAGCUCGAAAGCGUGGGUAUCGAACAGGAUUAGAUACCCUGGUAGUCCACGCGGUAAACGAUGGAUGCUCGCUGUUUGCGUCUGACGUAAGCGGCCAAGCGAAAGCGUUAAGCAUCCCACCUGGGGAGUACGCCGGCAACG
RNAcentral lists this ribosomal RNA (838 nucleotides) under uncultured Bacteroidota bacterium. RNAcentral describes it as "bacterial SSU rRNA". It matches the Rfam family "Bacterial small subunit ribosomal RNA", at positions 60 to 893 of the family's 1533-position model. Lineage: Bacteria; Pseudomonadati; Bacteroidota. The record is from RNAcentral.